This 486-nucleotide ribosomal RNA is filed under the name uncultured Piscirickettsiaceae bacterium. RNAcentral's name for it is "bacterial SSU rRNA". It matches the Rfam family "Bacterial small subunit ribosomal RNA", at positions 30 to 505 of the family's 1533-position model. Lineage: Bacteria; Pseudomonadati; Pseudomonadota; Gammaproteobacteria; Thiotrichales; Piscirickettsiaceae. The record is from RNAcentral.
AUUGAACGCUGGCGGCAUGCCUAACACAUGCAAGUCGAACGGUAACGAUGGAAGCUUGCUUCCAGGCGACGAGUGGCGGACGGGUGAGUAAUGCUUGGGAAUUUGCCUAGUAGUGGGGGACAACACGGGGAAACUCGUGCUAAUACCGCAUAAGCCCUACGGGGGAAAGCGGGGGAUCUUCGGACCUCGCGCUAUUAGAUGAGCCCAAGUCGGAUUAGCUUGUUGGUGGGGUAAAGGCCUACCAAGGCAACGAUCCGUAGCUGGUCUGAGAGGACGAUCAGCCACACUGGGACUGAGACACGGCCCAGACUCCUACGGGAGGCAGCAGUGGGGAAUAUUGCACAAUGGGGGAAACCCUGAUGCAGCAAUGCCGCGUGUGUGAAGAAGGCCUGCGGGUUGUAAAGCACUUUCAGUAGAGAAGAAAAGCUUACGGUUAAUAACCGUGAGUCUUGACAUUAACUACAGAAGAAGCACCGGCUAACUCCG